AGAUAUUAUGUAAGCUUUGAUUUUCUACCAUUUGUUAAAGAUUAAAGAGUGAAGUAGGAUGGAGGAGAUGAAUAACAACAACAUUGAGAUGGAUAAAUAUAAACAAAGCCCCCCAGCGGAGACGGUCAACCCAGGAUAUAAAGAUGAAAACAAACCGACAUUUGUCAAAGCAAGAAAAACAAAACGUCUCAGGAUGAGAAAAUCCCUGGUGAAGGUGAAACGAAACCUCCAGGCAAAUAAAGUAACAACACAAUUUUUUCCACCACAAGGCGAGGUUGCCACCAACCUUACUCUAAUUGUAGCAGUUAUUAUCAUCUUCUUCUGUGCCCGAGCUGUCCUGGGCACAAUAGCAGCUCCUGGAGGAACUAUAUUUGCUCUUUUUAUUCUCAUUCUUCUCUCACUCAUUGCGGGACAAAUUGUAAUACAAGUAGCUUCUUGGAUAUCGAAGCUUGUGGGCAUAGAUAUCAAGAUACCUCCUCUGCUUGGAAUGAUGGCUGUUGGGAUUACUCUUAAAAAUGUUCCUUACAACUUUGGCCAGUUUGGUAGAGCUGAGUGCAUUGGGAAUGUUUCAGUUGAGUUUGCAGACUCUCUUCAUAACUUUGAGAUAAAUUCAUCUGAAUUUGAUGAGGAACUAAUGGGAUUUACAGUAAAACCUUCCAUCAGACUGCAUGACAUAUAUGGAGCUGAAGCCCAGCAUUCUCUUGAUCAUACUGUGUCUGAAAACCAGCGUAUAUCAAGCAAUGUGGACCAACAUGAAGUCUUUCCUCUAAAUGAUCAUGAAUAUAAUCCUAGUACGGCUGAUGAUACUCUGAGCAAUGUUGUUCAAAAAUCUACCCCAUACCAGGAACGGUUGCAGGGGAUUAUUCAGAACCAUAUUGACACACUGACUAAAAUUGGUGAGCUUCAUCAAGAAUUGACCAAACCAACUACUCCAUCAGAUGAAGAUGUUAUAGGAAGUAAGCAUCCUAAAAUGAAUGUUUUUAAAUCCCCCAAAUGGCCAACUGACCACAGUUCAGAGGAAAACAUUUUAAACUUGAUGGAUUCAAGACAUAAAAGAACCUUACGUAGUGAACAUGCUGAAGAAAGUACUUCACUGCCUGAGGAUUCCUGUAAGAAAAGAUUCAUUGGGCAUGAACUUGAUCCCUUGCUGUCUCGAACUCUAAGAUCCAUAUGUCUGACAGUUAUUCUACUCAUGGCAGGCCUAGAACUAGAUCCUCCUGCACUCUGGAGACUUAAAUGGAUUGUACUCAGAACUACAUUUAUUCCUUGCCUUGUAGAGGCAUUUGCAGCAUCUUUAUUUUGCUAUUUGAUCCUUGGAUUUCCCUUUCUUCCUGGUCUAUGCUUUGGAUUUGUUCUCUGCGGAGUAUCUCCAGCUGUUAUUAUUCCAGGAUUGGUGAAUCUGAGUCAGAGAGGAUACGGAGUAAAGAAGGGAAUACCAACACUGGUUAUUGCAACAUGUUCUGCUGAUGAUCUUGUGGCUAUUGGAGGAUUUGGUAUUGCACUUGGUAUCACUUUUAAUCCAGAUGCUUCAAUUACCGAUCUUGCCAGCCAUGGUCCAAUUGAAGUCACCAUGGGUAUUGGAUUUGGAAUCUUCUGGGGUUAUGUAUGCCAGUGGCUCCCAAGUAGACAUAACAAAGAUUAUAUCCUGUUCAGAUUUAUUAUACUUUUUUGCGGAGGUCUCUUUGCCUUGUUCGGAGCCCAUCUAAUCCACUAUGACGGUGCAGGUGGUCUGGCGUGCGUGAUCAUGGCAUUUGUUGCCUCAAUUCAGUGGAGAAAAGAAGGAUGGGGAGAUCAUAAUCCCAUAACUGACAUCUUUGGGAAAAUGUGGAUUAUCCUCGCUCCCAUCAUAUUCUCUCUGAUCGGAACUAAUAUCCAGGUUGAUAAGAUGAACGGUGAUACUGUAGGGUUAGGAGUUGCCGUUAUAGUUUGCUGUAUUCUAACAAGAAGUUUUUUUACCUAUUGGUCUGCAACAUUUGGAGGACUAAACACCAAGGAAAAGUUAUUUCUAAGCCUGGCCUGGCUUCCAAAAGCCACAGUUCAAGCUGCCUUAGGUCCAGUAUUUUUGGACAAUGCUUUGAGGUCCGGAAUAACAGAAUUUGUUCCGUACGGAGAACAGAUUCUCAAUAUGGCAGUUCUAUCAAUUGUGAUCAGUGCUCCCUUGGGAGCCGUCCUAAUCCUAGCCACAGGGCCCUUGCUUCUCCAUUCUGAUUUAGAGGUUAAAGGAAGCACAGAUGAGGGAUCUGAUCUGGAAGAAGCUGAGAAGGAGGAGGAGGGGCAGGAAGAGGAUGCUGAGGAGAGAGAGGAAGAGGAUGCUGAGGAUAGAGAAGAUGAGGAGAGGGUGGAGGAAAACGCGAAUAAAUCCUUCAAAAAUAAUUCUAAGAUGUUAAAUAAUGAAAUGGAAAGUGUGGACGUAUGUCAGGGGGAUCUUUCUGUAGACAAUAAAAAGAUCGUAAAAGAACAUUUGAACUAAAGAAGCGAGAUAAACAUUGAAAAGCAUUUCAGUAUUUUCCUAUAUAUCCAGUUAUUCCCCAUUUUCAAUAUUUUCUUUUAUUUUGAUCUGGCUGAAAAUUGAUAUGACUAUAACAGUCAAAUUGCCUACACUUUUCUCAGAAAUCCAUCGGAUUAUCUACAAUUUAAUUUUUUGCUGAAAAUUCGUUCGCAGAAUUAAAUAAAAAAUAGCUUUUUUGUAAACAUUAAGUAAUCUUUAUAUGUACCUAUUCUCAAGAUUCAGCUCCGACCGAUUUUAAUGUUAAUAUUUAAUUAUUGUUCUAGUUUAACCUGAUUUUAUCUAAUUAUAACCAUUUGAAUCAUUAGACUUCUUAAAAUAAACUUGUGAUGAUA
This 2841-nucleotide unclassified non-coding RNA is filed under the name Eurytemora carolleeae. Its description in RNAcentral is "sodium/hydrogen exchanger 9B2". The record is from RNAcentral. Lineage: Eukaryota; Metazoa; Arthropoda; Copepoda; Calanoida; Temoridae.